Molecule: ribosomal RNA, 468 nt
Filed under: uncultured bacterium
Lineage: Bacteria
Description: partial 16S ribosomal RNA
Rfam family: Bacterial small subunit ribosomal RNA
Source: RNAcentral
GACGAACGCUGGCGGCGUGCUUAACACAUGCAAGUCGAACGGAAAGGCCCUGCUUUUGGGGGGUGCUUGAGUGGCGAAAGGGUGAGUAACACGUGAGUAACCUGCCCUUGACUUUGGGAUAACUUCAGGAAACUGGGGCUAAUACCGGAUAGGAGCUCCUGCUGCAUGGUGGGGGUUGGAAAGUUUCGGCGGUUGGGGAUGGACUCGCGGCUUAUCAGCUUGUUGGUGGGGUAGUGGCUUACCAAGGCUUUGACGGGUAGCCGGCCUGAGAGGGUGACCGGCCACAUUGGGACUGAGAUACGGCCCAGACUCCUACGGGAGGCAGCAGUGGGGAAUAUUGCACAAUGGGCGGAAGCCUGAUGCAGCAACGCCGCGUGCGGGAUGACGGCCUUCGGGUUGUAAACCGCUUUCGCCUGUGACGAAGCGUGAGUGACGGUAAUGGGUAAAGAAGCACCGGCUAACUACGUG